Molecule: long non-coding RNA, 2819 nt
Filed under: Homo sapiens (human)
Lineage: Eukaryota; Metazoa; Chordata; Mammalia; Primates; Hominidae
Description: HSALNT0332817
Source: RNAcentral
AUCACCUUUCAGUGUCUGCUCUGCUGGCUCAUGCAGUGUAGGUUGGCUUACCUCUCCCUGGAAGUCACAUUGUCCUUCAGAACUCUUUUUACUAUGACCCACAAACAGUUUUCAGACCUCACUCUGAUGAGUCAAAGGUAAAGCUGUGAAUAAACAGAUGGUGAAACAACAUUUGCAGUUCUCUGACUUCAGUCCUCCCUGAAACCCACUUGGAAUCUAGCUCUGAAUUCAGCCGGACAUGUUUGUUCUUCCCUUUUCCCAUCCUCACCUACUCCUAACCUUCAGUGUUCUCUUUACCUUUUAUUUUUAUUUUUGUCAUUUUAGUAGUAAAUGACAGGGACAUAGUUACUCAAUUUGUAAAACAUUGAAUGGUGAGGUCAAAGAUUCUAUGACGAGCUUGAGAUUUCUAACAGGUUCAGAUGGAUGACAGCAACAUUUUGCUGGCUUAAUUUUGGAGCUGUUUUUGUAGGUUUUGAAAUGCAGUUUAAUAGUGAGUAAUAGAGAAGUUUCUUUCUGCCGUGGAGCUACUGAACCCUUGAAAGUAACAUGCUGGCACAUACAGAUGAACUGUAGCCCCACAUUUAUUCCUUGCUUAGUGGUAAGCUGUACACUGAACAAUAGAAAACAAAAGGCUAUUUUUCUUUGGAAGAGCAGAUACUGAUUUCUGGACAAAGUUUAUGUUGUACAAGUUAAACAUUUUUUAUUCUUUUCUGGUUAGAUUUUCUGCCUUUUAAAAAAUUAGCUUAGUUGAAAAAGCAGGUAUUAUUAAAUACAGUUUAUUUUAUUGAAUUGGACGGACAAUCGUAGAAUUUUAAAGCUUAAAUGGCUUUAAUUGAACCUAAUGUUCUAAUUUUACAGAGGAAACAUUUGAGGCUUAGUGCGGUUAAAUGACCACUCCUACAACACACAGCCUGUUUGUUUGAUGGCUGAGGCUGAAAACCAGACUCCAGACUCCUAAUUUAAUGCUUUUCCUUCAUUGGUCAUGUCUUUUUAGCUUCAGUGAAGAUCUUUUUUUUUUUUUUUUUUUUAAUUUUUGAGGUUAUUUAAAAAAUACUUUGCCUUGAAAAUUUAACAUUUCCACUUAAUCAUUCUCAUACUUCAAGAACAGUUUCUCUGUUAACUUUCUGUUUAACUUCUUAAACCAUACACUGUGGAAAUUAUCUGUCUAUAUGCUGAACAGUCUUUAAUGACUGCAUGUGUGCCGUAGCUGUUGAGAUGUUUUAAUCCACUUUAGCAAAAGGUUUAUUUGUUUAAGAAAAGUGCAGUGUUGUAUUAAGUCUAAGCUUAGAACAAUGAAGCAUCAUCUCCCAGCUACUGGGAGUGAGAAUGGGAGGGGCAGGGAGUGGUUGGUACUAUGAGCUGCUCUAAAGAAAAUUCAUUUCAGCUUCCUCACAUGUUAAUACAAUCAUAUUUCAGUGAAGCCCUUCUUCAGCAACAGUCACUAAUGAUAGAGUGAUGUGUUUAGACUUGAAGGUUCUUUAGGUGCUGUUUAAAUGAAUAAUGAGUGUAGUUAAUUCACAAUACAGGUGAAAAGUUAACCACAGAGUAGUGGCACUGCUCUUUCUUUCCCCGUCACCUCUGUGCAUGAUCUCUUGCUGCGCCAUUAGAAGGGAUGAUUAGAAUGGGCAAAUAUUCCCUCCCGGUGCUCCUGGCAAUAGGAAAGCACUGUGGCUCUCUCCACCUAGCCAGUGUGGCCUGAGGCAUUCAUAGCCAUGUUCUGAGUGGUGAAGGCUAAGAGAGCCCAGGAGAGCUGUCCAGGGUUAAAUAAGACAUUAAUAUAUAAAGUAAGGACUGUCGGUAUACGUGAUAUUUAUAUGUUAUCAUAUUACAUUUUAUUUAUUUAUUUAUUCAUUUAUUUAUUUGUAUAUAUAGAGAGAGAAACAGAGUCUCACUCUGUUGCCCAGGCCAGAGGGUAGUGGUGCCAUCAUAGCUCACUGUAGUGUCGAACUCCUGGGCUCCAGUGAUCCUCCCGCCUCAGCCUGCUGAGUAGCUAGGACUACAGACUUGUGCGACCACACUUAUUUUUUGUUUUUAAUUUAUUUUUUGUAAAGACAGGGUCUCAUUCCAUUGCCCAGGCUGCAUUUUUAAGUUUAGUAACUGCCCAAAUGGACAUUGGGUAAAAUAAAAAUAAAUACAGUCACUUCUCUUCUUAAAUCAUUCACCUCUCAAGAUGAAGAAAGAUUGUCACCAAUUUUCAAAGAAUUUGAGUAUAAUUAAAUACACUUCAUAAUAAACUAGGCUGAACAUAAUUUAAUCUUUCCCUGAAGAAAACUGUAAUACUGCAUAUGCAUUUUCAAACUAUGCAUAUUUCUUCUUCAUUCCAUGUGGAAGUUUUUAUUCAGCCUUUCAGUAAAUUUUACUUAGCUUGUCCCAUGGAUGCCGCUACCCAAUCAGAGCAAAAACAGUAUUUUAAAAAACCUCAACUGGAUGAGCCUGAUGCAGUGGUGUGCUCAUGCAGUCCCAGCCAAAGGGUCACUUGAGCAGAGGAGUUCAAGGCCAACUUGGGCAACAUAGUGAGACCCCGUCUCUAAGACAAAUAAUAAACAUCAAAAUUAAAAUUAAAAAAAACCCAACCCAGUGUUCCCUUCAGAAUCCUGAGUGGUUUGUUUCAUCUUCCUCUAUUCUGGCUUGUGUCAUCUUCCUCUCUUGUAAUGGAUAAAAACUCCAAAUGAAGACAAAAAUGAGGAAUUUGUCAAAAAAAUUGAAUUGCCAACAAAAGCCAUCUUUGGUUGAUCAAACGGUACAGACGUUUCAGUUAGACAAGAGGGCUAAGUUUCUGAGACCCAUUGUACAGGAUUAUUAAUAUUAUUCAUUUUUAG